AUAAAGGUCAAACGCACGUACAAAUUCCAUUAUCGAUUUCUUCGAAUUUCUUUUUCUUUUAUGCUUUAUGGCAGAAAAUAAAUCAAACAAACAGUAUUUUGAAAGGGCUUUAUCAAAAUCUUUGACGAAUUUUGGACACACACGACGCUGAAAGAACAGCCAAACUAGUCAUGUAUUCGAAAGCUUGUUGUUGACAGCCAAGAUGUUUU
This is a non-coding RNA of Paramuricea clavata, 209 nucleotides long. The record is from the annotation of a GenBank genome assembly. Lineage: Eukaryota; Metazoa; Cnidaria; Anthozoa; Malacalcyonacea; Plexauridae.